GUCAUGAAAUAUUAGUAGUAAAUGAAACCAGGCAUGCAAAAAGUAAUGUCCUGAAUGUUUUAACAUUUGACAGGUAACAAGGCGGACAAGAAAUCCACCACCAAGCAACCUCAGAGUCCUAAGGAGCAGCCGAAGAAAGGUGAUCAGAAAGGAGAUGAUGCCAAAAAGCAAGGAGGACAGCCGAAGGGAGAGAAGCAAUAAUUUCCAGGCCUUCGUGAAGCUGGCUCUGGAGACUCUCCU
Molecule: long non-coding RNA, 240 nt
Filed under: Sinocyclocheilus grahami
Lineage: Eukaryota; Metazoa; Chordata; Actinopteri; Cypriniformes; Cyprinidae
Description: lncRNA (ENSSGRG00000033038.1)
Source: RNAcentral